This is a small nucleolar RNA of Eublepharis macularius, 87 nucleotides long. RefSeq annotates it as small nucleolar RNA SNORD103/SNORD85. NCBI's taxonomy places the organism in Eukaryota, Metazoa, Chordata, Lepidosauria, Squamata, Eublepharidae. The transcript has a single exon. The record is from RefSeq and is a predicted model, not a curated record.
UCAGGCUGCGAUGACGCACUUGCCCUCACUGAGAGCAUGGCUCUAUAACGACAGCUUUUUUUGUGUGUGCUACUCUUCUGAGCCAGA